GGUAAACGCUGGCGGCGUGCCUAAAACAUGCAAGUCGAACGGGCAGUCUUCGGAUUGUCAGUGGCAGACGGCUGAGUAACGCGUGGGUGACGUACCUAUCGGUGGGGAAUAACUGCCCGAAAGGGUGGCUAAUACCGCAUACGUCCACUGCUUCGUGGCAGUGGGGAAAACCGCAAGGUGCCGAUGGAGCGGCCCGCGUUCGAUUAGCUGGUUGGUGGGGUAACGGCCUACCAAGGCGACGAUCGAUAGCCGGCCUCAGAGGAUGAUCAGCCAGACUGGGACUGAGACACGGCCCAGACUCCUACGGGAGGCAGCAGUGGGGAAUUUUGGACAAUGGGGGCAACCCUGAUCCAGCCAUUCCGCGUGAGUGAAGAAGGCC
Molecule: ribosomal RNA, 379 nt
Filed under: uncultured bacterium
Lineage: Bacteria
Description: bacterial SSU rRNA
Rfam family: Bacterial small subunit ribosomal RNA
Source: RNAcentral